CAAUAGCGUAUAUUAAAGUUGUUGCGGUUAAAAGCUCGUAGUUGGAUUUCUGCCGAGGACGACCGGUCCGCCCUCUGGGUGAGUAUCUGGUUCGGCCUGGGCAUCUUCUUGGAGAACGUAUCUGCACUUGGCUGUGUGGUGCGGUAUCCAGCAUUUUUACUUUGAGGAAAUUAGAGUGAUUCAAGCAGGCACACGCCUUGAAUACAUUAGCAUGGAAUAAUAAGAUAGGACCUCGGUUCUAUUUUGUUGGUUCUAGAAUAUUCUAGAGCUGAGGUAAUGAUUAAUAGGGAUAGUUGGGGGCAUUCGCAUUUAACUGUCAGAGGUGAAAUUCUUGGAUUUGUUAAACACGCACCACUGCGAAAGCAUUUGCCAAGGAUGUUUUCAUUGAUCAAGAACGAAAGUUAGGGGAUCGAAGACGAUCAGAUACCGU
Molecule: ribosomal RNA, 430 nt
Filed under: uncultured eukaryote
Lineage: Eukaryota
Description: SSU rRNA
Rfam family: Eukaryotic small subunit ribosomal RNA
Source: RNAcentral